This 279-nucleotide ribosomal RNA is filed under the name uncultured bacterium. RNAcentral describes it as "partial 16S ribosomal RNA". It matches the Rfam family "Bacterial small subunit ribosomal RNA", at positions 506 to 784 of the family's 1533-position model. The record is from RNAcentral.
UGCCAGCCGCCGCGGUAAUACGGAGGGUCCGAGCGUUAUCCGGAAUUACUGGGCUUAAAGAGUUCGUAGGUGGUUGAAAAAGUUGGUGGUGAAAUCCCAGAGCUUAACUCUGGAACUGCCAUCAAAACUUUUCAGCUAGAGUAUGAUAGAGGAAAGCAGAAUUUCUAGUGUAGAGGUGAAAUUCGUAGAUAUUAGAAAGAAUACCAAUUGCGAAGGCAGCUUUCUGGAUCAUUACUGACACUGAGGAACGAAAGCAUGGGUAGCGAAGAGGAUUAGAUA